Molecule: ribosomal RNA, 253 nt
Filed under: uncultured bacterium
Lineage: Bacteria
Description: partial 16S ribosomal RNA
Rfam family: Bacterial small subunit ribosomal RNA
Source: RNAcentral
UACGGAGGGUGCAAGCGUUAUCCGGAUUCACUGGGUUUAAAGGGUGCGUAGGUGGGUUGGUAAGUCAGUGGUGAAAUCCCCGAGCUUAACUUGGGAACUGCCAUUGAUACUAUCAAUCUUGGAUACCGUGGAGGUCAGCGGAAUAUGUCAUGUAGCGGUGAAAUGCUUAGAUAUGACAUAGAACACCAAUUGCGAAGGCAGCUGGCUACACGAAUAUUGACACUGAGGCACGAAAGCGUGGGGAUCAAACAGG